UGCUGUGUGUUCAACUGUCCUCGGUUCAUGGCUUGUCGGGAGCGCCGCCCACUCUCCCCAGCCGCAGCCGCUUUGUGCUGCAGUCGCUUCUCUGCCCGCUUCAGCUUCUACACGGAGGGGGCUCGCCCUGCAUCGUUCAAGUUACUAGUGGCAAUAAAAGUCACAAAGAGAUUUCGCCGGGCACCUCUGGAGGCCGUGAUUUAUAAUGAAGUCAGUACCCAACGUUAACUGCGACGCCCUCUGGUGGCUUCCAGUAUUUUCCUUAGCUGCAAGAGUAAAGUUAAACAAAACAAAAUAAAAGCCCAGAAGGCAACAAUAACAGU
Molecule: long non-coding RNA, 323 nt
Filed under: Rattus norvegicus (Norway rat)
Lineage: Eukaryota; Metazoa; Chordata; Mammalia; Rodentia; Muridae
Description: long non-coding RNA NONRATT026137
Source: RNAcentral